Molecule: ribosomal RNA, 468 nt
Filed under: uncultured bacterium
Lineage: Bacteria
Description: partial 16S ribosomal RNA
Rfam family: Bacterial small subunit ribosomal RNA
Source: RNAcentral
GACGAACGCUGGCGGCGUGCUUAACACAUGCAAGUCGAACGGAAAGGCCCUGCUUUUGUGGGGUGCUCGAGUGGCGAACGGGUGAGUAACGCGUGAGUAACCUGCCCUUGACUUUGGGAUAACUUCAGGAAACUGGGGCUAAUACCGGAUAGGAGCUCCUGCUGCAUGGUGGGGGUUGGAAAGUUUCGGCGGUUGGGGAUGGACUCGCGGCUUAUCAGCUUGUUGGUGGGGUAGUGGCUUAUCAAGGCUUUGACGGGUAGCCGGCCUGAGAGGGUGACCGGCCACAUUGGGACUGAGAUACGGCCCAGACUCCUACGGGAGGCAGCAGUGGGGAAUAUUGCACAAUGGGCGGAAGCCUGAUGCAGCAACGCCGCGUGCGGGAUGACGGCCUUCGGGUUGUAAACCGCUUUCGCCUGUGACGAAGCGUGAGUGACGGUAAUGGGUAAAGAAGCACCGGCUAACUACGUG